Lycium ferocissimum is the source of this 1922-nucleotide long non-coding RNA. RefSeq lists it as uncharacterized. Lineage: Eukaryota; Viridiplantae; Streptophyta; Magnoliopsida; Solanales; Solanaceae. The record is from RefSeq and is a predicted model, not a curated record. The transcript is spliced from 2 exons.
UAUGUAUUUUUCAUGAACACUGUACAUGUGUAUAAAUACAAAAGUGAUGAAAUCAAAACUAAUCCUAUGCAUACACUUGUCAUCUAUCCCAUUACCUAUCAUUAUCAAUAUUGUAACAACCUAGUAUAACAUAAAAAUGAGGAAUAAAAUCUGUUUCUAUCCUAUACAACAAUGUACACGUACACCCUAUAUAAAAAUGCAAUGCUUAGCUUUAUUUCGUUGGGCCCAAGGUGUUGUUAUUAAUUGGGCCUAGUCUUGCCAAAUCUGCUUGUUGUGUGCUUGAGCCCAAUUCCUCUUGAUCUUUUGUCCGUGUGUCCAUUAGGCCCAAUUUACUUGUCUUCUUCAUUUGUUCUUGACUAAGUGAAUGUUUGACCAAAUCAGUUUGUCGAGGUUCUUCAUGAAUGAGAGAUGAGUGGUGUGAAUCAUAGAUCCCAAUACUCCCCCCCCCCGGUCAAGUUGGAGGGUGGUGAAACAAUCCCCAACUUGUUUAGAAGGGAUCGAUGAACUGGACCGGAAAGUGGUUUAGUGAGGAUAUCAGCCAGUUGUGAAUUGGAAGGGACAUAAUUGAGAGAAAUCAAGCCGGCAAGGUAUUGUUGACGCACAAAGUGACAAUCAAGAUCUACAUGCUUAGUGCGUUCAUGGAAGACAGGGUUUUUAGCUAUAUGGACUGCAGCUUGGCUGUCGGAGAGAAGAGCAACAGGCAAUGGGGAAGGAACAAAGAAAUCAUCAAGGAGACGAACUAACCAUGUUAUCUCAGCUGUAACUCUGCGCAUGGAGCGAUACUCCGCUUCUGCAGAUGAAAGAGAGACUAAGGACUGUUUCUUGGACUUCCAAGAAAUGGGUGAACCACCAAGAGUGAUAUAAUAACCACUAAUUGACCGACGGGAGUCUAGACAUCUUCCCCAAUCAGAGUCACAAAGGCAAUGAGGUUAAAAGAUGAACUUGAAGAUAGAAAAAUCCCCAAACCUAGAUCUAAAAGAAGAUAUCGAAGAGAUCGAAAAGCUACAUCAUAGUGAGGUUGACAAGGAUUAUGCAUGAAUUAACUCAGAUGUUGGACGGCAAAUGAGAGAUCUGGACGAGUGUGAGUGAGGAAAUUCAAUUUUCCAAGUAAUGUGAGAUAGGAAGUAGGAUUCGAAAUGGGCUGCCCAUCAUCAAUACGAAGUUUUGUGGUAGGAUUUAAAGGAGAUAAGACUGGUUUUAAGUCGGUGCAUUCAAACUCACUUAGCAGAUCUAAGUUGAUACAGGAGAGGACCAUUACUUUGUCCAAACCACUCUUUAAGCUCUUCCCAGAUUUGCCUUGCUGUUUUUGAAUAUAAAACACUCUCUUCUAUUUCCUUUGAAAGAGAGUUUAGUAUCCAUGAAAUCACCAUGUUGUUGCAUCUGCUCCAAGAUCUGCAGGAUUCAGAGGCAGCAGUGGGUUGAAGGAUGGUUCCAUCAAUGGAACCAACCUUGUUCUUUGCUGAUAAGGCUAUGAGAAUGCCUCUUCUCCAACCACCAUAACCUUUUCCAUCAAAGGUGGUGUUCACAAGUAUCAUUCCAGGAGAAUCAGAGGCAUGGAUGUAAAAAGGAUGAGUGGAAUCGAUGACCCCAAGUUCAGUUGAAGCAGCAACACCAUCAGAGGUCUUAGCAGCAACAUCUGAGGUCUAUGCUACAUUGAGAGCUUCAAUGGUUUGAGUAUUUUCUAUGGUUGUGUCUGCCAUUGUAGCAGUUGAAGCUUAAAAGAAGGAAAUGGAAAGAAGAUAACUUGAGGAAGAAGAAACGAAAGCUAAAGGGGAGGAUCGCAUCCCUAAAGCUCUGAUACCAUGUUAAACAAUAGAGAGAAAUAUGGAAAUUUUAUGUGUAUUUUUCAUGAACACUGUACAUGUGUAUAAAUACAAGAGUGAUGAAAUCAAAACUAAUCCUAUGCAUACACUUGUCAUCUA